Molecule: ribosomal RNA, 475 nt
Filed under: uncultured bacterium
Lineage: Bacteria
Description: partial 16S ribosomal RNA
Rfam family: Bacterial small subunit ribosomal RNA
Source: RNAcentral
GACGAACGCUGGCGGCGUGCUUAACACAUGCAAGUCGAACGGUAAGGCCCUUCGGGGUACACGAGUGGCGAACGGGUGAGUAACACGUGGGUGAUCUGCCCUGCACUUCGGGAUAAGCCUGGGAAACUGGGUCUAAUACCGGAUAGGACUCCGGACUGCAUGGUCUGGGGUGGAAAGCUUUUGCGGUGUGGGAUGGGCCCGCGGCCUAUCAGCUUGUUGGUGGGGUGAUGGCCUACCAAGGCGACGACGGGUAGCCGGCCUGAGAGGGUGACCGGCCACACUGGGACUGAGAUACGGCCCAGACUCCUACGGGAGGCAGCAGUGGGGAAUAUUGCACAAUGGGCGAAAGCCUGACGCAGCAACGCCGCGUGAGGGAAGAAGGCCUUCGGGUUGUAAACCUCUUUCAGUAGGGACGAAGCUUCCGGGGUUAAUAGCCCACGGGGUGACGGUACCUACAGAAGAAGCCCCGGCUAAC